CCAAUCUCUGCCCCUCAGAGCAUGCUCCGCAGAGCCAAAACACCCCAUAGUGCCGGAACUAGUUCCUCAUACAAGUCGACAGGGCCAACGUUUCCACCCCAUUGGCGGGAAUCCUAGACAAUAGUCACGCGGUCUCCAAAAUCACAUCCACAAUUUCCAACAAUCAAACUUAAUAUAAACAUAAGUUUUCAAAACCAAUAUCUACAUAAUAGAUUUUCAGAUGAUCGAUUUCCAGUCAAAAACAUGCUUUUAAUUAAUAAUGAUGCCAAGAAUAUAAAACAUAUCAAUAUGCUGGAAAUAAUCAUACACAUAUGCAUAAUACAUGUAAAUNNNNNNNNNNNNNNNNNNNNNNNNNNNNNUUCGCUUAAGAAUCCCUGUCACAGAUAUCACGAACCCCUGUUUAAAACAUAAACAUUAAUUAUUUAAUUAACUAAGAAACAUAAUUUUUAAACUAUUUCCAAUUCCUUAAACUCCUAAGUUCAUAGAUCCAAGAAUGGGCCCCUAAGAUCAAACAUAGACCCUAAAAUCAGAACCCUUUAAACCCAAGUCAAUUGUGGCCCAACACAGAUUAGGCCCAAUUGAACCAAACCAGAUAACAGGUUCAGAUCAGAUUUCGGGCCCAACCCAAACCAGCCCACAGAUCCAAUCAGGCCCAACUCAGCCCACAAACAGGUCCCUAGCCCAACCCAAACCAGGUCUGAUCAGACCAAAUUAGACUCAAGUCAGACUAACCCAAAUUUCUGACUCAGAUCCAAACCAUAACCCAAACCCAUUCACUCAAAUCCAGAUCAAACCAAAUACAAGGAUUUGGUGGAACCGGUUCAUAAUCUAAACCGGUUCAUGGUCUGAUCCCCACUUGAGGCACGGAUCUCAAAGCAAGGAAAAACCCAGGAAGGAGAAAGAAGAAGAAGAAGAAAGAGAAGAAGAAGGAAGAGAAGAAGA
This 942-nucleotide long non-coding RNA is filed under the name Phoenix dactylifera (date palm). RNAcentral describes it as "long non-coding RNA (PDAC_LNC005943)". The record is from RNAcentral. Lineage: Eukaryota; Viridiplantae; Streptophyta; Magnoliopsida; Arecales; Arecaceae.